UACGGGGGGUGCGAGCGUUGUCCGGAAUCACUGGGCGUAAAGGGUGCGUAGGUGGUGAGGUAAGUCGGAUGUGAAAGCUCGGAGCUCAACUCCGAAAUGGCAUUGGAAACUACCUUGCUCGAGGGUUGGAGGGGGGACUGGAAUACUUGGUGUAGCAGUGAAAUGCGUAGAUAUCAAGUGGAACACCAGUGGCGAAGGCGAGUCCCUGGACAACUCCUGACACUGAGGCACGAAAGCUAGGGGAGCAAACAGG
This 253-nucleotide ribosomal RNA is filed under the name uncultured bacterium. Its description in RNAcentral is "partial 16S ribosomal RNA". It matches the Rfam family "Bacterial small subunit ribosomal RNA", at positions 524 to 776 of the family's 1533-position model. The record is from RNAcentral.